Picea glauca (white spruce) is the source of this 111-nucleotide non-coding RNA. The record is from Rfam. NCBI's taxonomy places the organism in Eukaryota, Viridiplantae, Streptophyta, Pinopsida, Pinales, Pinaceae.
GUAGCAAGGUAAGUGGGCUUGAUUGUGUGGAAAACUCCACAGUUAAGCGCGCUUGACCCAGAGGCGUAUUGGUAUGGGUUACCACCUGGGAAGUCCUGGGUACUGGGUGCA